Molecule: ribosomal RNA, 144 nt
Filed under: uncultured bacterium
Lineage: Bacteria
Description: partial 16S ribosomal RNA
Source: RNAcentral
AGGAGCACGGCGCGUGAAGGAAGAAAGGCCUUCGGGUUGUAAAACUCUUUUGGCAGGGAAGACAAGUACCUGAGUACUGCUAGUACCUGGAGGGUCUCUAAACAGAAGGCCCGGCUUACUACAUGCCAGCAGCCGCGAAAAUAA